This 72-nucleotide transfer RNA is filed under the name Streptomyces rochei. RNAcentral's name for it is "tRNA-Gln". It matches the Rfam family "tRNA". From Rfam's summary of the family: Transfer RNA (tRNA) molecules are approximately 80 nucleotides in length. Their secondary structure includes four short double-helical elements and three loops (D, anti-codon, and T loops). The record is from RNAcentral. Lineage: Bacteria; Bacillati; Actinomycetota; Actinomycetes; Kitasatosporales; Streptomycetaceae.
UGGUCUAUGGUGUAAUUGGCAGCACGACUGAUUCUGGUUCAGUUAGUCUUGGUUCGAAUCCAGGUAGACCAG